This 218-nucleotide long non-coding RNA is filed under the name Elaeis guineensis (African oil palm). Its description in RNAcentral is "long non-coding RNA (EGUI_LNC074099)". The record is from RNAcentral. Lineage: Eukaryota; Viridiplantae; Streptophyta; Magnoliopsida; Arecales; Arecaceae.
CCCCUGGUGCCCCCUCGGGACGUGUCUCUAGAGCGAAAACCUCGGUCGGGGGGCUUUGUGAAGAGGCUCGGGGGACUUCGGGCUCGACGUCAGAGGGGGCGUCGAUGGCAACGGCCACCUGAGUAGGUGCGGCCGAGCUCGUCUCUUCUGCUCUAGCUCUCUUCGCCGACCCCAAAGUAGCGGUGCCUUUUCUCUUAUGGGUUUUAAGACCUUGGGCC